Vicia faba (fava bean) is the source of this 530-nucleotide non-coding RNA. The record is from the annotation of a GenBank genome assembly. Lineage: Eukaryota; Viridiplantae; Streptophyta; Magnoliopsida; Fabales; Fabaceae.
AUGGUGUCAAUCUUGUUGAAGUUGAGAUACGCAAACCAAAUGACGACCUUGAUAAUUAUGAGGAAGGCAAGCAUGGCGAGAGAUCCUUAACAACUGAAAUCUCCAUCACUUCUGAGAUAUCCGAGGAAACCGAGAACACUCCGUCUCAAGAUAACGAAGACCUUCCUUUGCCUGAAACUGCAGCUAGUAGUUACAAAAGGACUCUAUCAGGGGGUCUUCAGAGUCCACGCUCGACGAGGUGUCAAAGACUGCUAUAUUGCAAAGAAUCAAUUCCAAGAAGGGUUCACAGUCCUACCAAUUGGGACAUAGCCUUUUGCGCAAAUGGUCGACUGGAGCAGGUCCUAGAAUCGGGGUGUGUUAAUGAUUAUCCUGUGGAGCUUAGACUUCAGGCAUUGGAAAUGGUUAACCUAUCUCCAAAACGUCCACCAUCUCCAUUUUCAUACAUGUUAAGGGGCGGUCUUGUUUCGCCUACAGCUCCUCCGACGCCCAACACAGUGCGAGUUUACAACGAUGAGAGUCUGGUUAAUUGA